Molecule: long non-coding RNA, 791 nt
Organism: Heterocephalus glaber (naked mole-rat)
Lineage: Eukaryota; Metazoa; Chordata; Mammalia; Rodentia; Bathyergidae
Source: Ensembl
ACCCAGAUGCCAUCAGUAAGUGUGAUGAGAUCCCAGUGAGAAUCCUAAUUGGACAAGAGCGGCUCAACUGUGUGAGCCAGCUCUGAGCCAGGGCCCUGCCCAGACAGGAGAAGCUUGGGCCCUCAGGAACAAACCAAAAUCUCACCUAAGAAAGAGCUGCACAGGCAUGCAAACAACAGCCAGAGGCUCACACAGAUACCAUUGAUAAGUACCCACAGACCUCAGCCAGAAGCUCACUCAGACAUCAGCAACUCAGGUGCACAGCACCCAGCCUAAGGGCAUCCCAGACAACAGCUACACAGGUGGGCAGGCCACAGCAAGAGACAUGCCCAGAUAUCAUACCAAGAGUGUGCAGCCCCCAGCUUGAACCCGGCCCAGACAACAGUGCAGUGCAGAGAUCCACAAGGCCACUAUUCUGAACCCAGGAAUUGGCACAGUGGUAACAGAGUAAAGGGCUCUCUGUGGUUUUCUGAAUAUUGAAGCCCAUUGGGGGAACAAAAAGUCACCUCAACAAAAGUGCAGCAGGCUGCAUCUGCUGAAAUGAGAAGACACAUAAACAAGUCUCAAGACCAGACUUCCAGAUCACCAAAGGCAACCCCAAGAGGCAAUGAGAUGGAACAAGCUGAUACUCAACUACCUGAACUCCCUGAACUGGCAACAAAGGAGUAUCUGCAAAAAAGGUAAUCAGAUAUAAUUUCUCAGAUAACAGAGAUUGACUUUAAUCGGUGACAGAAACCACCUGUGUCUAACCAUUAAACAAGAAUUGGAACUUUAUUUACUUAACAAAGACC